UACGUGGGGGGCAAGCGUUGUUCGGAAUUACUGGGCGCAAAGGGUUCGUAGGUGGCCAACUAAGUCAGACGUGAAAUCCCUCAGCUUAACUGGGGAACUGCGUCUGAGACUGGAUGGCUUGAGUGCAGGAGAGGAACGCGGAAUUCCAGGUGUAGCGGUGAAAUGCGUAGAUAUCUGGAGGAACACCGGUGGCGAAGGCGGCGUUCUGGACUGCUACUGACACUGAGGAACGAAAGCCAGGGGAGCAAACGGG
This 253-nucleotide ribosomal RNA is filed under the name uncultured bacterium. RNAcentral describes it as "partial 16S ribosomal RNA". It matches the Rfam family "Bacterial small subunit ribosomal RNA", at positions 524 to 776 of the family's 1533-position model. The record is from RNAcentral.